CAGCAGCCACGGUAAUACGGAGGAUCCAAGCGUUAUCCGGAUUUAUUGGGUUUAAAGGGUGCGUAGGUGGCCUGUUAAGUCAGGGGUGAAAGACGGUAGCUUAACUAUCGCAGUGCCCUUGAUACUGAUGGGCUUGAAUGAACUAGAGGUAGGCGGAAUGUGACAAGUAGCGGUGAAAUGCAUAGAUAUGUCACAGAACACCAAUUGCGAAGGCAGCUUACUAUGGUUUUAUUGACACUGAGGCACGAAAGCGUGGGGAUCAAACAGGAUUAGAUACCCGCGUAGUCCCUGUCUCUUAUAC
RNAcentral lists this ribosomal RNA (301 nucleotides) under uncultured bacterium. Its description in RNAcentral is "partial 16S ribosomal RNA". It matches the Rfam family "Bacterial small subunit ribosomal RNA", at positions 509 to 807 of the family's 1533-position model. The record is from RNAcentral.